AUGACGACCACAGCUGCCAUGAACGUGGCCGUCACGCAGCUAUGUGCCCGGGGUCGCCGGCGCAGGCCGGCCGCGCUGCGCCACGAUCACCGGUGGGCGCGCUUGCUCCGCCUCGCCGUCGCCACCAGGGCCGUGCGCCUCGUCUGGGACCAGCUUCUCGCCUGCUCCUCCUGCGGCGGGGGCGGUGGCGCCCGGUACCGCCGGCUCGGCCCGCCGCACGGACCGGACGUGCUGACCCCCGUCCCCAUGGAUGACGACGCCUGCGCGGGCGCUGCCGCCCACGCCGACGCCGACGACGACGCGGCGGAUGUCGAGGACGUGGUCGGCCUCAAGGUCAGCCUGCUCGGGGAUUGCCAGAUCGGCAAGACCAGCUUCAUGGUUAAGUAUGUUGGGGAUGGGGAGGAGCAGAACGGGGGCUUGCAGAUGACAGGCCUGAAUCUGAUGGACAAGACUCUGGCUGUUCGGGGCGCCAGGCUCGCCUUCAACAUCUGGGACGUGGCAGGAGACAGCCAGUCCGCCGACCACGUCCCGAUCGCGUGCAAGGACGCCGUGGCGAUCCUGUUCAUGUUCGAUCUCACCAGCCGGUGCACGCUUAAUAAUGUUACCGAUUGGUACGAGAGGGCCAGGAAAUGGAAUAAGACGGCUAUUCCAAUCCUAAUAGGAACGAAGUUUGACGACUUCGCUCAGCUUCCUCUUGAGAUGCAAUGGACCAUUGUCGAUCAGGCCAGAGCAUACGCAAGAGCGAUGAAGGCGACCCUCUUCUUCUCGAGCGCGACGCACAACAUCAACGUGAACAAGAUCUUCAAGUUCAUCACGGCCAAGCUCUUCAACCUCCCUUGGACGGUGGAGCGGAACCUCACCGUCGGCGAGCCCAUCAUAGACUUCUGA
RNAcentral lists this ribosomal RNA (888 nucleotides) under Triticum aestivum (bread wheat). Its description in RNAcentral is "partial small subunit ribosomal RNA". The record is from RNAcentral. Lineage: Eukaryota; Viridiplantae; Streptophyta; Magnoliopsida; Poales; Poaceae.